GAAUCCCGUCUUUGACACGGACUGCCUGCAUGUUAUGGUGCGCUCUCAAAGAGUCGAGUUGUUUGGGAAUGCAGCUCAAAAUGGGUGGUAAAUGCCAUCUAAAGCUAAAUAUUGGCGAGAGACCGAUAGCGAACAAGUACCGUGAGGGAAAGAUGAAAAGAACUUUGGAAAGAGAGUUAAACAGUACGUGAAAUUGCUGAAAGGGAAACGCUUGAAGUCAGUCGCGUCGGCUAGAAAUCAACCUUGCUUUUGCUUGGUGUACUUUCUUGUUGAUGGGUCAGCAUCAAUUUUGACCGUUGGAUAAAGUCGUUGGGAAUGUGGCAUCUUAGGAUGUGUUAUAGCCCAUCGUCGCAUACAGCGGUUGGGAUUGAGGAACUCAGCACGCCCUUCUGGGGACGGGUUUCGACCACGUUUCGUGCUUAGGAUGCUGGCAUAAUGGCUUUAAUCGACCCGUCUUGAAACACGGACCAAGGAGUCUAACAUGCCUGCGAGUGUUUGGGUGAAAAACUCAAGCGCGUAAUGAAAGUGAUAGUUGGGAUCUCUGUCAUGGAGAGCACCGACACUCAGACCAGACCUUCUGAGACGGUUCUGCGGUAGAGCAUGUAUGUUGGGACCCGAAAGAUGGUGAACUAUGCCUGAAUAGGGUGAAGCCAGAGGAAACUCUGGUGGAGGCUCGUAGCGAUUCUGACGUGCAAAUCGAUCGCCAAAUUUGGGUAUAGGGGCGAAAGACUAAUCGAACCAUCUAGUAGCUGGUUCCUGCC
Molecule: ribosomal RNA, 761 nt
Filed under: uncultured Inocybe
Lineage: Eukaryota; Fungi; Basidiomycota; Agaricomycetes; Agaricales; Cortinariaceae
Description: partial 28S ribosomal RNA
Rfam family: Eukaryotic large subunit ribosomal RNA
Source: RNAcentral